This 658-nucleotide ribosomal RNA is filed under the name uncultured bacterium. RNAcentral's name for it is "bacterial SSU rRNA". The stretch from base 1 to 539 matches the Rfam family "Bacterial small subunit ribosomal RNA", at positions 338 to 873 of the family's 1533-position model. The record is from RNAcentral.
CCUACGGGAGGCAGCAGUGAGGAAUAUUGGUCAAUGGGCGAAAGCCUGAACCAGCCAUGCCGCGUGCAGGAAGAAGGUCCUAUGGAUUGUAAACUGCUUUUAUUAGGGAAUAAACUCUGGUACGUGUACCAGCCUGAAGGUACCUAAUGAAUAAGCACCGGCUAACUCCGUGCCAGCAGCCGCGGUAAUACGGAGGGUGCAAGCGUUAUCCGGAAUCAUUGGGUUUAAAGGGUCCGCAGGCGGUUUGAUAAGUCAGUGGUGAAAGCCUACAGCUCAACUGUAGAACUGCCAUUGAUACUGUCAGACUUGAAUUCGAUCGAAGUGGGCGGAAUGUGACAUGUAGCGGUGAAAUGCUUAGAUAUGUCACAGAACACCGAUAGCGAAGGCAGCUCACUAGGUCUGGAUUGACGCUCAGGGACGAAAGCGUGGGGAGGACAACAGAGUAGUAUACCUACGUAGUCGACGACCGUAACUACUACAUACUCGUUCUUGUCGUCUUCGGUAGGUCGGGUACGUACGACGAAGUAGAGUAAGUUAGUUAGUCGUAACCGUCGGGGUAGGGUUACGGUUAGUCGCGUUAGGUUAGGUUAACGUUACGAAGGAAGUUAGUUACGGCGUUGGAGACGUUCGCCGACGGACGACGACGAGGGGAGGUAGG